GCCCCCUUAGCUCAGCUUGGUUAGAGCAUUGGUCUUAUGAGCCGAAGGUCGCGGGUUCGACCCCCGCAGGGAGCA
Molecule: non-coding RNA, 75 nt
Organism: Chloropicon primus
Lineage: Eukaryota; Viridiplantae; Chlorophyta; Chloropicophyceae; Chloropicales; Chloropicaceae
Source: the annotation of a GenBank genome assembly